Non-coding RNA from Jatropha curcas, 107 nucleotides. The record is from Rfam. Lineage: Eukaryota; Viridiplantae; Streptophyta; Magnoliopsida; Malpighiales; Euphorbiaceae.
AAGACAUGGCAGGGGCAUUUUCAUUGGAGAUCUUUUAAUCUUUCCUAGGCUUCGCAUAAAGUUUCAUCUUCCUUCAUCCGAAAUUUGGAUACUUCCUCCCUUAGCCU